UAGAGUAAUGCGUGACCAACCUGCCCCAUGCUCCAGAAUAGCUCUUGGAAACGGGUGGUAAUGCUGGAUGCUCCAACUUGACGCAUGUCUUGUUGGGAAAGUGUUUAGUGGCAUGGGAUGGGGUCGCGUCCUAUCAGCUUGUAGGCGGGGUAAUGGCCCACCUAGGCUUCGACGGGUAGCCGGCCUGAGAGGGCGGACGGCCACAUUGGGACUGAGAUACGGCCCAGACUCCUACGGGAGGCAGCAGGC
RNAcentral lists this ribosomal RNA (249 nucleotides) under uncultured Gardnerella sp. RNAcentral's name for it is "partial 16S ribosomal RNA". It matches the Rfam family "Bacterial small subunit ribosomal RNA", at positions 107 to 354 of the family's 1533-position model. Lineage: Bacteria; Bacillati; Actinomycetota; Actinomycetes; Bifidobacteriales; Bifidobacteriaceae. The record is from RNAcentral.